ACUGCCCAUUCGGAAUGGGAAGCGAGGCUUUGCCACGGAGGAAAAAUAAAACAAAAUGAAGAAGAUGGCACACCCCGGACGUAAAUGAAAGAUUCCAAACGUAGGUCAGUAAUAUAACAAUGGGGAGGUCAGGUGUGAGAAGGGCAGGUGGUUGGCCAGCUGCUGGUUUGCGGUUUGCUAAUUGCAUUGUUCGAUCAAUGUGCGGAAGACCCGCUGGGGCUUUUCUCGUAACUGUUGUGAUAAAUACAUGUACAAGUAGCUCAUUUCCAGUGAUGGUAGAGCUGGAGGCUUGUUGUGGAACCUCUCAUAUUCCAGGCUUUGCACUGUUUCACUACCCUGUGUGUGGCGUGGCGUAGUCGUGGGGGUGUGCUGAUAUCGAUAGACGACAGCCAGCGUCAAGGCCUAGCGGUUCCAAUUAAACCGAUGAUGGAGGGAUUCAAGGUGAAGGGGUUUGUUGCUGCCGUGUUCACUCCAAUGACCGAAAAUGGGGAUGUGAAUGUGGAAGCGAUUGAUCAAUAUGCGACCCAGCUACUGAAUGAUGGAGUUCGCAAUGUAUUCCCCUGUGGUACUACUGGCGAGGGGCUUUCGCUCACCAUCAACGAGAGAAAGCAGAUUGCAGAGAAGUGGAUGCAAGUUGGCAAGGGCAAAUUUGAUGUCAUCAUGGUUCACGUUGGAGCUGACUCGCUCCGAGACACCCAGGAUUUGGCAUCUCAUGCUGCAAGUAUUGGAGCUGACGCGAUAUCCGUCGUGUCACCGACAUACUUCAAGCCCAAAACUGUUGAUCUCUUGCUUCAGUACCUGAAAGAAGUCGGUGCUGCCGCACCGUCGCUACCUCUGUAUUACUACCACAACCCUGGAAUGACAGGUGUAAAAUUUUCAUUGGAAUCCAUAUGGGAGGGUUUGAAGCAGACACCUGUUCCGUCGCUGCGGGGUGUCAAGUUCACCUGUUCUGACUUCUACGACUUGGCUCGAGUCCAGCAUCUGGCUGGGGACAGGUUGCAAAUGCUGUACUCCACGGAUGAGCAACUCCCUCAAGCCUUUUCCCGAGGAAUAGAGGGAUUCAUUGGAAGCACUUACAACUAUGCCGGUAAACCAGCGAACCGCAUGCUUGAAGCUUACCAAAAGGGUGACAUGGAGGCAAUGGAGAAGGAGUAUAUGAUGUACUUGUCGUUCAUUCCAAUACUGUUUAAAUAUGGGGGUGAUGUUGGUAGCAACAAGUGCAUCAUGAAGCUGGCCCGGUGUCCCACCAUCGGUCCGGCCCGCCUGCCCAUCGCAACGCUGGACAAGGAGAGGCUCCAGAGCAUGAACGAAGAGCUGAAGAACAUCGGCUUCUUUGAGUGGAUCAACAAGUAGAGGAGUGGAUCAGCUAGCCCAUCAUCCAGCAGACUGGCAAGGGGAUUGGCUGCUGAUCAAGCAGCAUGUGGUGUCGCUAUUUCGGGAGUUGAUUGAUUUUUUAUACACGGCAGUGGAACUCUUUGAGAGACAAACUUGGUGACUGCAACAGCUGGUGCUCACCGCAGAGCCAAACGAAAGACCGAGGGGAUUGCCGGCAUGUCCAGCUCCUGUGGCAUUUUGGCCAUCUGGGUCCAGACUGACAAAGCUGCUGAGCACAGGAAAAUAUGCUUAGCUAUAUCAGGUUACCAGCCCAACAUAUCAUGUAAUGUGUACCUGCAUUGACUGGUACUCUGCAGAUUCGUGCUUAGCGCACAGCUUUGCCAAGUACAGUCUCCUUCUUGGCAGCUUGGCAGCCGUGGUAUUUGAUAGGUAUCUCUGCGGCAGACUGUUUAUGCACAUUCUUUGGAUAAAGACAGGGCCACAUCAGUAUUACUGUUGACUUUGCACAGCAGAUUGGAAAGUUUUCUUAACUUUCAGCGCAGAAAAUAGUGUGACGUUGUAAUUCCGUUUAGCAGGUUUUGUCCAUUAAUGAGUGAUUUGUUCUUUUGCAACUAAUAACUAGCAUCUUUCAUUUAUUUUGUAGUUUUCGUAUUAUAAUGUAAUAGACUGGUUGUGCCCAGUAAGUCACAUGAGCCACAGUGGGUAUCAAACAUCAAUAAACAUGCAUUUCCCCCAUGGCCAAGUGUGUCAGAAGUGUCAUUUACCAAAAAUAAAACUGAUGAUUGGUAGAGCACUCAGACUACUGAACCCGGCUUUAUUUUUGCUAAACUCUUAAAACAAACAUUGCUAUUGAAGGAUGCCAUGCUUGUUGAUAAUUUUAUACCCACUAAAGGUCAUGUGACUUAGCGGGCCCUAUCGGCCAGUUGUAGCAGGCUAUGCAUUAUAUUUUACGGCCAUACAUGUACACUACCGCAAACAAGUUACGGACCAUUGGAAUAAAAAAAUUUUCUUAAUGUUUCAAACAUCAAA
RNAcentral lists this unclassified non-coding RNA (2364 nucleotides) under Acanthaster planci (crown-of-thorns starfish). RNAcentral describes it as "n-acetylneuraminate lyase-like, transcript variant X2". Lineage: Eukaryota; Metazoa; Echinodermata; Asteroidea; Valvatida; Acanthasteridae. The record is from RNAcentral.